UUAAACUAAUAUUACCAACCCUGGACAACAGUUCUUUCCCAGUCAGCUCUGUCCUCCCGUCACACGGCCAGUAACCCAACUCCAACGUUUACAUAAGUGCAGGAACACAUCAAGCGAAACCAAUAUUUAGAUCCAAUAAGGAUGCUAAACCCAAACUCUCACAGGAAUUGCGAGGGUCGCCGAGGAAUCGCAUUAUUUUAAAACGAAUUCCACAUCCUCGCCCCAUAAUUGUCCUAUUUCAACUCCAAUGCCGUCGUUUGUCAAAGGACCAGGAGGAAUUUGUCAAAGGGCGUUUAGGGUUGUUCCAAAUGCAUAUAAAAGAGUUGUUACAUCAACAGAACACAGAAUAUUUGAAAGGAAUAAAGAAAUAUGAUAACCAAAUAUGAACAUAGUAACUGCAACCACAAGGAUAAAAAUAAAUUACAGAAAAUCAUAAGCCUCCUCUUGCCAUUGGCUAAAUGCAAAAAUGAACAGAACAACCUUGCCCACAUCCACAUGAUUGAGAAAAUUAAACACAAAACCAAUCAAUGAUGAUAAGCCACAUCUCAUGCUACUAAAAUCAGUUCAGGAUAAAAUUUAGCUCAUUGGCCAAGGCAAGCAUUUAGCUAAAGCAAAAAGAGAACUCAUUCCCUACUUAUCCCUGGUUGCCACCACCACCCCUUGAACGACCACCCAUCCUUCCACGACCACGACCAUAGCCUCUGCCCCCUCCACCUCUGCCUCUUUCAUACCCAGUACCACGAUAACCCCAACUUCUGCCUCGUCCACCACCACGACCCCAAUUUGAAUAACCACCAUUAUCUUGAUAGUUUCCUUGAUAAUUUCCAUAACUGUAUCCACCUCUACCCCGGUUCCGCCCUCUCCCCCUACCAAGACCACGCCCUCGGCCAUAUGAAUCAUCACGAGCGGCAUUAUAUGGACCACGCAAUUGUCUGGGUUGCUGUUGCUGUUGUUGCUGCUGCUGAUACUGUUCCUUCGGUUGUUCCACAUACUGUGGAGCUUGAUACCUAGGCACACGAUUUUGACCUCAUAACAACUAGAAAAACAUCAAACAAUGUGCACAAUAUGCAUUUGUUGGUACAUGCCACUGAGAGAUUCAAAAAUCAGGUCAUGGUAAUGGUACCCAUUAUGAAUCUCAGCUGACCAGCACAGUGAAAAAGACUUCUGAACAGUGACCCUAAAAUAACAUAUUAUGCAAGGAUUUGGAUUUUCACAAGCCAGGAUAAACUCAAAGCAGCUGAACAACUUACUUCCCAAAUCUGAGUUUGGCAAGCAACAAUAUAUAUUAAAAAAUUAAAAGAUAAACUUACCCAGGAGAAUUUUUGUUUAGCUCUCUGAAGGACAAAGUGAUUGUGAUCAUUGAGACUUGGCGAGUCUGUUCCACAGGUAAAAGGCCCUCUUCAAUAGGUUCCCAAACAUCAAUUAUGCUUACUGAGCUAAUGGCUGUAUCUUGAUGCAAACGGGGAUUUCUUCUCUUUAUACCCUCUGCAAUAGAUACUGUCUUGCUAAUUGCCUGUCCCAUUGCUUUCAAGACAACCUCUCUUACAUGUUUCUCCACAAUGAAAUAGCGAAAACCUAAAGACCGAUUCAGCCAUUGUACAGAGUAGAGACAUCCAAUCCUCAACCAAAAUGCCCUAGAAGAGAAAACACUAACUAUUCCUGGACUAGGAUAAGAAGUAUCCACCAAACCCCCAAAAAUCAGAGACUGCACUAAAAGAAUGUAUGGAAAAACACCAUAAUAAUAGAACUCAGAACACCGACAGAUAAUAUAAAACAUAAGCAAAUGCCCAAAAUAAUCAAACCCAUCACAGCGACGCAUGUGCUCAAACCCUAGAAAUCAAACAAAGCAAAAUCAGGAAGGAAGCAACAAAACCAUUAUUCUAAUGAUCAC
This 1891-nucleotide unclassified non-coding RNA is filed under the name Hevea brasiliensis (rubber tree). The record is from RNAcentral. Lineage: Eukaryota; Viridiplantae; Streptophyta; Magnoliopsida; Malpighiales; Euphorbiaceae.